Non-coding RNA from Papilio xuthus (Asian swallowtail), 84 nucleotides. The record is from Rfam. Lineage: Eukaryota; Metazoa; Arthropoda; Insecta; Lepidoptera; Papilionidae.
GUCAGGUUGGCCGAGUGGUCUAAGGCGCCAGAUUUAAGCUCUGGUUCCCAUUUGGGAGCGUGGGUUCGAACCCCACACCUGACA